This 569-nucleotide ribosomal RNA is filed under the name Nakazawaea siamensis. RNAcentral describes it as "eukaryotic LSU rRNA". It matches the Rfam family "Eukaryotic large subunit ribosomal RNA", at positions 62 to 648 of the family's 3401-position model. The record is from RNAcentral. Lineage: Eukaryota; Fungi; Ascomycota; Pichiomycetes; Alaninales; Pachysolenaceae.
AAACCAACAGGGAUUGCCUUAGUAACGGCGAGUGAAGCGGCAAGAGCUCAAAUUUGAAAUCUGGCACUUUCAGUGUCCGAGUUGUAAUUUGAAGAAGGUAUCUUUGGAGUUGGCCCCUGUCUAUGUUCCUUGGAACAGGACGUCACAGAGGGUGAGAAUCCCGUGCGAUGGGGAGACCAAUUCUAUGUAAAGUUCCUUCGAAGAGUCGAGUUGUUUGGGAAUGCAGCUCUAAGUGGGUGGUAAAUUCCAUCUAAAGCUAAAUAUUGUCGAGAGACCGAUAGCGAACAAGUACAGUGAUGGAAAGAUGAAAAGAACUUUGAAAAGAGAGUGAAAAAGUACGUGAAAUUGUUGAAAGGGAAGGGCUUUUGAUCAGACUUGGUGUUUAGUACUCUCUACUCCUUGUGGGUGGGGCUCUUGCUUUAUACUGGGCCAGCAUCGGUUUGGAUGGCAGGAUAAUGGCUGUUGAACGUGGCUUCACUUGUGGAGUGUUAUGCCUUCAGCUGAUACUGCCUAUCUAGACCGAGGACUGCGUCUUUGACUAGGAUGCUGGCGUAAUGAUUAAAAGCCGC